GAAGGGCAGAGGCUUUAUUAAUUGCUGCGUAUGGCAAAGACCAAAACAAAAGCCAUGAACAUACUGAGACCAUCAUUGACAAAUUGGAAACCUGAAAAUUUCCGAAUUUAUCAGCUUCUUUCGCCCCUUCCGUUGACUUGACUGCAUCCAAUUGUAACGGUACCAAUUACUAUGGUAUACUAUUCUAGUUUUUAUGUAUUCCCAAGUUUAUUUGCAAUGUAUUUGGAAUUUAUCUUUAUGAUAUAGUCAGAGUUAGAGACUUCAAGUUUGAAGUAUGAGAAUGUAGCAACAUUAAUAUCUUUAAAGGAAAAAUGUUGUUGCUCAUGUAGUCUUGCAUCUUUUGAUAUAUUGUUUGUCCAUAAGCUGUUUGAGUUUCUUGGGAAGCCUUUACAUUGUUCAACAUGAGUGUCCUCUUUCAAUUCAUCCUUUAACAUCUUGAA
This 440-nucleotide long non-coding RNA is filed under the name Lathyrus oleraceus (garden pea). RNAcentral describes it as "Pisum sativum (pea) long non-coding RNA (PSAT_LNC020593)". Lineage: Eukaryota; Viridiplantae; Streptophyta; Magnoliopsida; Fabales; Fabaceae. The record is from RNAcentral.